RNAcentral lists this ribosomal RNA (465 nucleotides) under uncultured bacterium. RNAcentral describes it as "partial 16S ribosomal RNA". It matches the Rfam family "Bacterial small subunit ribosomal RNA", at positions 28 to 507 of the family's 1533-position model. The record is from RNAcentral.
GACGAACGCUGGCGGCGUGCUUAACACAUGCAAGUCGUACGGUAAGGCCCUUUCGGUGGUACACGAGUGGUGAACGGGUGAGUAACACGUGAGUAACCUUCCCCCACCUUUGGGAUAACGCUAGGAAACUGGUGCCGAUACUGGUUAUGUGUUCUUUCUGCAUGGUGGGGGUUGGAUAGCUCCGGCGGUUUUGGAUGUACUGGCUGCCUAUCUGCUUGUUGGUGGGGUAGUGGGCUACCAAGGCGGCGACGGGUAGCCGGCCUGAGAGGGUGACUGGCGACAUUGGGACUGAGAUACGGCCCAGACUCCGACGGGAGGGAGCAGGGGGGAAGAUUGCACAAUGGGCGCAAGCCUGGUGCAGCAACGCCGCGGGCGGGAUGACGGCCUUCGGGUUGUAAACCGAAUUCAGAAGGGACGAAGCUUUUUGUGACGGUACCUGAAGAAGAAGCACCGGCUAACUACGUG